GACGAACGCUGGCGGCAUGCCUAACACAUGCAAGUCGAGCGAGCAGAUCCCUUCGGGGUGAAGCUAGCGGCGGACGGGUGAGUAACACGUUGGCAACCUGCCUCAUAGAGGGGAAUAGCCUUCCGAAAGGAAGAUUAAUACCGCAUAAGAUUGUAGCUUCGCAUGAAGUAGCAAUUAAAGGAGUAAUCCACUAUGAGAUGGGCCCGCGGCGCAUUAGCUAGUUGGUGAGGUAACGGCUCGCCAAGGCGACGAUGCGUAGCCGACCUGAGAGGGUGAUCGGCCACAUUGGGACUGAGACACGGCCCAGACUCCUACGGGAGGCAGCAGUGGGGAAUAUUGCACAAUGGGGGAAACCCUGAUGCAGCAAUGCCGCGUGAGUGAUGACGGCCUUCGGGUUGUAAAGCUCUGUCUUCGGGGACGAUAAUGACGGUACCCGAGGAGGAAGCCACGGCUAACUACGUGCCAGCCGCCGCGGUAA
Molecule: ribosomal RNA, 478 nt
Filed under: uncultured bacterium
Lineage: Bacteria
Description: partial 16S ribosomal RNA
Rfam family: Bacterial small subunit ribosomal RNA
Source: RNAcentral